Long non-coding RNA from Loxodonta africana (African savanna elephant), 1135 nucleotides. RefSeq lists it as uncharacterized. The record is from RefSeq and is a predicted model, not a curated record. The transcript has 2 exons. NCBI's taxonomy places the organism in Eukaryota, Metazoa, Chordata, Mammalia, Proboscidea, Elephantidae.
GAAAGGAAAUCGGCACAAAGGACUGAUGAGAAAAAAAAAAAAAAAAAGACUGUUUAGGCAUAGAAAAUAAAAACAGGCAUCUGAUCUGUCUGUAAAGAGACUAAAGUAACUCUAAGCGCUCAAUGUAGUCUUUCACCUUAGGUUUGGCGUUGGCUGUCUAGCAGCUCCAGGUAAGCUUUCCCCCAGGUUCUACCUUCCUUCCCUAGGAACCAACCCAUCACCAUGAAGGAAAUGAGUUGCUUUGCGGAUCAGGCUAAAGAAUGUGAAGACUUAAGGCGAACUUUUGGUAUCAGCCUCCUCAGGUUUCUGACAUGCCCAGCAAAGUGAGAGAUCAUGGAAACUCCUUGUUUCCAUUCUCAUCUGGAGAGCUAACAUUCUGAGCAACGUGAUUGUUAACCAACCAGUCUUGAGAAUAUCCGUCCUGUGGCUGCUUUGUAACCAAGGUGAAACCCCCUUGACCUCCUGUCUUUCAAUUGUGUCUUGUAGCCAGUCAAUCGACUCACGUAAGCAAUAAUGACAACGAUUGUGCUUUACUUGUCGCGCCUUUGAUUGACCUUCGUCACUGUGAACCAACAAGAAAAACUGUAAUUUUAUUCUCCCCCUUCAGCACUCUGAUUACUCCUGAUUUGCCUUCUUCCCCUGAGAUUCCGGAACGUCAGCCUGAGACUUUGCGAUCUCCCACUGCCACGUGUCCGCUGCAAUAAAUCUCUUUCGAUUUCACCUUAAGGGAGCUGGAAAGUCAUUUCUCUCCAACAUUUUGGCGUAGUUAAUCGGCAGGGUUUUUGAAGUUACCCUUCCCCCGGAGACCCGAAGACCUGAAACACGGGACUCUGGCACCCAGGGCCCCUUUGUGUGCCCCUCCCUGCAGCUUUUUCGGACCCUUCUGGCUGUCUGGGGGGAGAAGGGAGCAGAGAGACUGGAGGACUUCAUUACCACCAAGCAGAAGAGCCAGGAGCAUUUGCUUUGAACCAGGGGCCCCUGCACUGAGAAGCUGCUAGAUCUGGGGAAGACUGAUGACAAGGACCUUCUCCCAGAGCCAACAGAGAGAGAAAGACUUUCCUAGGAGCUGACGCCCUGAAUUCAGACUUCUAGUCUCCUAGACUGUGAGAGAAUAAAUUACUCUUUGUAAAAGCCA